Molecule: ribosomal RNA, 497 nt
Filed under: uncultured bacterium
Lineage: Bacteria
Description: partial 16S ribosomal RNA
Rfam family: Bacterial small subunit ribosomal RNA
Source: RNAcentral
GACGAACGCUGGCGGCGUGCCUAAUACAUGCAAGUUGAGCGCUGAAGGUUGGUACUUGUACCAAAUGGAUGAGCAGCGAACGGGGGAGUAACGCGUGGGGAAUCUGCCUUUGAGCGGGGGACAACAUUUGGAAACGAAUGCUAAUACCGCAUAAAAACUUUAAACACAAGGUUUAAGUUUGAAAGAUGCAAUUGCAUCACUCAAAGAUGAUCCCGCGUUGUAUUAGCUAGUUGGUGAGGUAAAGGCUCACCAAGGCGAUGAUACAUCGCCGACCUGAGAGGGGAAUCAGCCACAUUGGGACUGAGACACGGCCCAAACUCCUACGGGAGGCAGCAGUAGGGAAUCUUCGGGAAUGGAAGAAAGUCGGAACGAGCAACGCCGCGUGAGUGAAGAAGGUUGUCGGAUCGUAAAACUCUGUUGGUAGAGAAGAACGUUGGUGAGAGUGGAAAGCUCAUCAAGUGACGGUAACUACCCAGAAAGGGACGGCUAACUACGUG